Molecule: long non-coding RNA, 315 nt
Filed under: Nicotiana benthamiana
Lineage: Eukaryota; Viridiplantae; Streptophyta; Magnoliopsida; Solanales; Solanaceae
Description: long non-coding RNA (NBEN_LNC039370)
Source: RNAcentral
UUUAAUCCAAAACUUUCUGAUUUUGGACUUGCCAAGCUAGGUCCAACUGGUGGCAGGAGUCAUGUCUCCACCAGGGUCAUGGGAACCUAUGGUUACUGUGCACCUGACUAUGCUUGCACAGGUAAAUUGACCGUCUCAUGUUUCCACCAGGGUCAUGGGAACCUAUGGUUACUGUGCACCUGACUAUGCUUGCACAGGUAAAUUGACCGUUAAGUCUGAUGUUUAUAGCUUUGGCGUAGUCUUUUUAGAAAUAAUCACAGGAAGACGAGUAAUUGACAGCUCCAGACCAAGCGAUGAACAGAACCUCGUCAAGUG